UCCUUAGAUGUUCUGGGCCGCACGCGCGCUACAAUGAUGAAUUCAACGAGUUUAUAACCUUGGUUGAAAAGCCUGGGUAAUCUUUUGAACUUUCGUCGUGAUGGGGCUAGACCCUUGCAAUUAUUGGUCUCCAACGAGGAAUUCCUAGUAAACGCAAGUCAUCAGCUUGCAUUGAUUACGUCCCUGCCCUUUGUACACACCGCCCGUCGCACCUACCGAUUGAAUGGUCCGGUGAAAUCUUCGGAUUGAGACUUUGAUUUGUUUACUCAAAACGCUGUUUCAAGAAGUUGAUUAAACCUUACCAUUUAGAGGAAGGUGAAGUCGUAACA
Molecule: ribosomal RNA, 329 nt
Filed under: uncultured eukaryote
Lineage: Eukaryota
Description: partial 18S ribosomal RNA
Rfam family: Eukaryotic small subunit ribosomal RNA
Source: RNAcentral